GACGAACGCUGGCGGCGCGCCUAACACAUGCAAGUCGAACGGAGCUGAGAGAAGCUUGCUUUUCUUAGCUUAGUGGCGAACGGGUGAGUAACGCGUGAGUAACCUGCCCUGGAGUGGGGGACAACAGUUGGAAACGACUGCUAAUACCGCAUAAGCCCACGAUCCGGCAUCGGAUUGAGGGAAAAGGAUUUAUUCGCUUCAGGAUGGACUCGCGUCCAAUUAGCUAGUUGGUGAGGUAACGGCCCACCAAGGCGACGAUUGGUAGCCGGACUGAGAGGUUGAACGGCAACAUUGGAACGGGGACACGGCCCAGACUCCUACGGGAGGAGGCAGUGGGGGAUAUGGCACAAUGGGGGAAACCCUGAGGCGGCGACGCCGCGGGGAGGAAGAAGGUUUUCGGAUUGUAACUCCUGUCGUUAGGGACGAUAAUGACGGUACCUAACAAGAAAGCACCGGCUAACUACGUG
RNAcentral lists this ribosomal RNA (467 nucleotides) under uncultured bacterium. RNAcentral describes it as "partial 16S ribosomal RNA". It matches the Rfam family "Bacterial small subunit ribosomal RNA", at positions 28 to 507 of the family's 1533-position model. The record is from RNAcentral.